This 260-nucleotide ribosomal RNA is filed under the name uncultured bacterium. RNAcentral's name for it is "partial 16S ribosomal RNA". It matches the Rfam family "Bacterial small subunit ribosomal RNA", at positions 793 to 1055 of the family's 1533-position model. The record is from RNAcentral.
GUCCACACCGUAAACGUUGGGCGCUAGGUGUGGGACUCAUUCCACGAGUUCCGUGCCGCAGCUAACGCAUUAAGCGCCCCGCCUGGGGAGUACGGCCGCAAGGCUAAAACUCAAAGGAAUUGACGGGGCCCGCACAAGCGGCGGAGCAUGCGGAUUAAUUCGAUGCAACGCGAAGAACCUUACCUGGGUUUGACAUAUGCCGGAAAGCCGUGGAGACACGGCCCCUUUUAGUCGGUAUACAGGUGGUGCAUGGCUGUCGU